AAACUGAAGAGUUUGAUCCUGGCUCAGAUUGAACGCUGGCGGCAUGCCUUACACAUGCAAGUCGAACGGCAGCACGGGUGCUUGCACCUGGUGGCGAGUGGCGAACGGGUGAGUAAUACAUCGGAACAUGUCCUGUAGUGGGGGAUAGCCCGGCGAAAGCCGGAUUAAUACCGCAUACGAUCUACGGAUGAAAGCGGGGGACCUUCGGGCCUCGCGCUAUAGGGUUGGCCGAUGGCUGAUUAGCUAGUUGGUGGGGUAAAGGCCUACCAAGGCGACGAUCAGUAGCUGGUCUGAGAGGACGACCAGCCACACUGGGACUGAGACACGGCCCAGACUCCUACGGGAGGCAGCAGUGGGGAAUUUUGGACAAUGGGCGAAAGCCUGAUCCAGCAAUGCCGCGUGUGUGAAGAAGGCCUUCGGGUUGUAAAGCACUUUUGUCCGGAAAGAAAUCCUUGGCUCUAAUACAGUCGGGGGAUGACGGUACCGGAAGAAUAAGCACCGGCUAACUACGUGCCAGCAGCCGCGGUAAUACGUAGGGUGCGAGCGUUAAUCGGAAUUACUGGGCGUAAAGCGUGCGCAGGCGGUUUGCUAAGACCGAUGUGAAAUCCCCGGGCUCAACCUGGGAACUGCAUUGGUGACUGGCAGGCUAGAGUAUGGCAGAGGGGGGUAGAAUUCCACGUGUAGCAGUGAAAUGCGUAGAGAUGUGGAGGAAUACCGAUGGCGAAGGCAGCCCCCUGGGCCAAUACUGACGCUCAUGCACGAAAGCGUGGGGAGCAAACAGGAUUAGAUACCCCGGUAGUCCACGCCCUAAACGAUGUCAACUAGUUGUUGGGGAUUCAUUUCCUUAGUAACGUAGCUAACGCGUGAAGUUGACCGCCUGGGGAGUACGGUCGCAAGAUUAAAACUCAAAGGAAUUGACGGGGACCCGCACAAGCGGUGGAUGAUGUGGAUUAAUUCGAUGCAACGCGAAAAACCUUACCUACCCUUGACAUGGUCGGAAUCCCGCUGAGAGGUGGGAGUGCUCGAAAGAGAACCGGCGCACAGGUGCUGCAUGGCUGUCGUCAGCUCGUGUCGUGAGAUGUUGGGUUAAGUCCCGCAACGAGCGCAACCCUUGUCCUUAGUUGCUACGCAAGAGCACUCUAAGGAGACUGCCGGUGACAAACCGGAGGAAGGUGGGGAUGACGUCAAGUCCUCAUGGCCCUUAUGGGUAGGGCUUCACACGUCAUACAAUGGUCGGAACAGAGGGUUGCCAACCCGCGAGGGGGAGCUAAUCCCAGAAAACCGAUCGUAGUCCGGAUUGCACUCUGCAACUCGAGUGCAUGAAGCUGGAAUCGCUAGUAAUCGCGGAUCAGCAUGCCGCGGUGAAUACGUUCCCGGUCUUGUACACACCGCCCGUCACACCAUGGGAGUGGGUUUUACCAGAAGUGGCUAGUCUAACCGCAAGGAGGACGGUCACCACGGUAGGAUUCAUGACUGGGGUGAAGUCGUAACAAGGUAGCCGUAUCGGAAGGUGCGGCUGGAUCACCUCCUUU
This 1532-nucleotide ribosomal RNA is filed under the name Burkholderia contaminans. RNAcentral describes it as "bacterial SSU rRNA". It matches the Rfam family "Bacterial small subunit ribosomal RNA". The record is from RNAcentral. Lineage: Bacteria; Pseudomonadati; Pseudomonadota; Betaproteobacteria; Burkholderiales; Burkholderiaceae.